Molecule: long non-coding RNA, 1070 nt
Filed under: Anas platyrhynchos platyrhynchos (common mallard)
Lineage: Eukaryota; Metazoa; Chordata; Aves; Anseriformes; Anatidae
Description: lncRNA (ENSAPLG00000027000.1)
Source: RNAcentral
UGAUAAUGAACAGGUUUCUCUGUGAAAUUUCUGAUGAUUUCAGCUGACCUCUAGCAUUAAAGUUCUUGUGACAUUUUGUGGGUUACCUAGGGUAGUUUGAUCAGCCGUGCUCCAUCUCUCAACUCAAAUUUAGACUGUCCUUCUCUCUGAUGAACUAGCUCUUCAUGAUCUUGAUUUUCCUUUCUCAGGAUAUAAUCAAUGUUUCAUUUAUUUUUUUAUUUUUCUGCUGUAAAAUACUGAUUCUUACAGGUUCUUAAAAUCACUUUGAUCAUCUCACAAACAGGGUGAGAGUGAAAGAGGAUAGUCACUUGUUACUUUGUGUGUUGUUGUGCUUUGCUUUUCUCUCUAUUUUUUUUUUCAAGGACAAGAAAGGGCUAUUCAGUGAAUUUUCCUUAAGCAAAAUAUUAUUUUUUCUUAAUACACAUAAAAAAACAAAACCUAUCUUGAAAUGACAGCAGCUUUUCAUAUUUGUCUCCAUUAUUUAGUAGUCACUCAUCCUUUGCAAGGAUAGCCCAGGAAGUGCCAAGUCUCAGGGGACAGAUUUCUUCUCAUUACCAUUUCAUAUCUAUGGAUCCUCUGACGGUGUCUUCCUCCAAGAUCCUUCUAGGUGAAAGGCUGAACAUGACUGUAAGGCUGUUGUCAUUACCCGUCUUCAAAGCAGGGCUGAAGAGGAUGUUCUUAGCCAGCAGUCUGUUUAUGCAAAAUACAUAAAUAGUUGCGGAAUUAAAAUGAUAUUUUCUACUGACUUUCUAUCAAUCAGGGGAUGAGAAUUGCAUCCUGCAAGCAUAUUGUAGAAAACAUCUAUGGAAAAUAGAUAUUUUUAAAGCAAUCUAAGGUGUUGUACUUUUCAUAAGAAAAUACAACAUAAAAGCAGAGCAUAGGAAUAAUAAUGUCCUUAUAUACACAUUUUAUCAAUGUAAAUGUGUCUUUUUAAAAAGAUAUCAUGGCCUCCUGAUGAAGAGAAAUAUCACAGAACUAUACCGUGAAGCAUUGAAUGCAUCAUGAGAAGGAUAUGCCCUGACAACAAAAACAAACCCUUGAUGGUCAAUAAAGACCACCUGAUUAAAUCA